GUCGUCAGCUCGUGUCGUGAGAUGUUGGGUUAAGUCCCGCAACGAGCGCAACCCUUAUUACUAGUUGCCAGCAUUUAGUUGGGCACUCUAGUGAGACUGCCGGUGACAAACCGGAGGAAGGUGGGGACGACGUCAAAUCAUCAUGCCCCUUAUGACCUGGGCUACACACGUGCUACAAUGGAUGGUACAACGAGUCGCGAGACCGCGAGGUUUAGCUAAUCUCUUAAAACCAUUCUCAGUUCGGAUUGUAGGCUGCAACUCGCCUACAUGAAGCCGGAAUCGCUAGUAAUCGCGGAUCAGCAUGCCGCGGUGAAUACGUUCCCGGGA
Molecule: ribosomal RNA, 327 nt
Filed under: uncultured Lactobacillus sp.
Lineage: Bacteria; Bacillati; Bacillota; Bacilli; Lactobacillales; Lactobacillaceae
Description: bacterial SSU rRNA
Rfam family: Bacterial small subunit ribosomal RNA
Source: RNAcentral